Molecule: long non-coding RNA, 475 nt
Organism: Gallus gallus (chicken)
Lineage: Eukaryota; Metazoa; Chordata; Aves; Galliformes; Phasianidae
Exons: 3
Source: RefSeq, a predicted model, not a curated record
UGACUUUUUGAGGACUUCAUCAUAAUACCUUACUUCUAUAAUUACAUUGACUUAAAUCAACUGAUUUACUCUACUCUGAAAAUAAGUAAGACUUACUCAACCUUAUCACACAUAUUUAUCAGCACAGUUAUGUUUUAAAAUGUUAUAUGCUGUAGCAAUUUCAGUCUUCAUAAUUUAUGGUACUAUAGUAUACGCUAUUUUUUGCCUGGAGCGCUAUAAUUUAUUUAUGUGUGUUUUUAUUUACAUAGAAUUUAUUACUUAGGAAAGAUACUUCAAUGUCUUCGAUGUUGGUAAUGCCGAAGAGCAGCAAUGUAGAAUGCAUGAACAGAGGAGUGGUUUUCGGUCAGCGUGAUCACAACUGUUAAGAGAUCCUAGUGCAACUCAGCCAGGGUCUACUGAUAAGCAUCAGCUUUACAUGAAGAGGAGGAGCAGUAUCUUCUUCAUCAAAUUUAUCUGGAUGGGGAUAGGAAAAAUA